Long non-coding RNA from Cavia porcellus (domestic guinea pig), 1120 nucleotides. RefSeq lists it as uncharacterized. The transcript is spliced from 3 exons. Lineage: Eukaryota; Metazoa; Chordata; Mammalia; Rodentia; Caviidae. The record is from RefSeq and is a predicted model, not a curated record.
AACACGUUUUCUGUAAUGAACAUAUGGGAGACUCCAGUGGGAAAGCGCUCCAGUCCUAUCCCAAGCGUGUUGCUGGCUGUGACUGCAGAGAAGCAGGCACCAGACAGGAUCAGGAAGCGAAGAGGCAAGAAGGCAUAGGCAUGGGCUUGACCACCGCUGCAGCUCUGAGCGCUGCCACAGCCUCCCGCGGCAGUGCGUCGGGGUGACAGGUGGCUUUCUGCAUAUUUAGUACCUAGUUUUCCUUCUGUAGCACAUGGUCUUAUCUAAGGGUGAAGAGCCUUAUGCAAACUCUACAUGUCUUGAAAUUUUAAUCUGAGGAGAAAGACAUCAGUGCAGAUCCGAGCACAACCACAAAAGAUGCUGGGAGUCAAAGGGAUAUCAUCGCUGAUGACUGCGCGGUGAUACCUAAAGGUCACUGAAGCAGCUGUCAGAUCAAAAUUUUAAUGAGGCUCUGGGGGCUGAAAUCAAGGUGGCAACCAGGCCAGUUGCUCCUGAAGGCUGCAGCGAAAUCUGCUUCCUGCCUGUUCCAGUGUCCCCAGGAUUCCCCAGGCUGCGCUCACAUCCCCCAGCACGUUGUCCCCUCAUUUCUUGUGUUCAGCACCUCUCUCUUACUUCUGUUUGCCUCCUGUUUUCAUGAGAACCUUAUGAUUACAAGGAUCCCACCUGGACAAGCUCCCCUUGAUUUCAUCCCAUCUGUAAAGUUCCUUUCUCCCUGACGAAUAACAUAUCCAGGGUUCCAGGGUUUAGGAUGAGGAUGAUUUUGCAGGCAGAUGGGUCUGAUUCAGCCUGCCACAGUCUCUUUUGUGAUUACCCUCAUUACCUAAUUAUUUAAAAAGUCCUUUAGAAAUGAUACUGCUGUAUCGCAUGCGUAUGCACAUGGGAGGUGAUGGAGUGGGGAACAAACACUUCCCGGACACUGCUGGACAGAUCUCAGCAUCGUCACUUCUGCUGCCCCUGCUGCUGCUGUGCCUGCUUUUGACAUCGAUAGACAAUGAAAAUUACCUUGAUCAUUAAUGAAUGAGCAAAGGAACGAAAUAGGAUUUUUUUUCUGGCAUUUAUUCAAAUGUUUCAUUCUUACACAUUGAAUACCUAAUAUUUACAAUAAAAAUUAUUAAAAUCA